This 330-nucleotide ribosomal RNA is filed under the name Triticum aestivum (bread wheat). Its description in RNAcentral is "partial small subunit ribosomal RNA". The record is from RNAcentral. Lineage: Eukaryota; Viridiplantae; Streptophyta; Magnoliopsida; Poales; Poaceae.
AUGCGUAUGUUGAGAUGGAUGUGUGGCCACACGAGGAAGUAUCGAGUCCGGAAUGAUGAUAUACGAGAUAGAGUUGGGGUAGCACCAAUUGAGGAGAAGCUUGUCCAACAUCGUCUGAGAUGGUUUGGGCAUAUUCAGCGCAGGCCUCCAGAAGCUCCAGUGCAUAGCGGACGGCUAAAGCGUGCGGAGAAUGUCAAGAGAGGGCGGGGUCGACCGAAUUUGACAUGGGAGGAGUCCGUUAAGAGAGACCUGAAGGAUUGGAGUAUCGACAAAGAGCUAGCUAUGGACAGGGGUGCGUGGAAGCUUGCUAUCCAUGUGCCAGAGCCAUGA